UACGUAGGGGGCAAGCGUUGUCCGGAUUUAUUGGGCGUAAAGAGCGUGUAGGCGGCCAUACAGGUCAGCUGUGAAAACUCGAGGCUCAACCUCGAGACGUCGGUUGAAGCCGUAUGGCUAGAGUCCGGAAGAGGAGAGUGGAAUUCCCGGUGUAGCGGUGAAAUGCGCAGAUAUCGGGAAGAACACCCGUGGCGAAGGCGGCUCUCUGGGACGGUACUGACGCUGAGACGCGAAAGCGUGGGGAGCGAACAGG
Molecule: ribosomal RNA, 253 nt
Filed under: uncultured bacterium
Lineage: Bacteria
Description: partial 16S ribosomal RNA
Rfam family: Bacterial small subunit ribosomal RNA
Source: RNAcentral